GGCGACGUGGCCGAGCGGAGAGGCAAGGGUCUCGGAAAACCACUUCACGCGGGUUCGAGUCCCGCCGUUGCCGCCA
RNAcentral lists this transfer RNA (76 nucleotides) under Blastocatellia bacterium. Its description in RNAcentral is "tRNA-OTHER". It matches the Rfam family "tRNA". From Rfam's summary of the family: Transfer RNA (tRNA) molecules are approximately 80 nucleotides in length. Their secondary structure includes four short double-helical elements and three loops (D, anti-codon, and T loops). The record is from RNAcentral. Lineage: Bacteria; Pseudomonadati; Acidobacteriota; Blastocatellia.